This is a long non-coding RNA of Loxodonta africana (African savanna elephant), 21207 nucleotides long. RefSeq lists it as uncharacterized. Lineage: Eukaryota; Metazoa; Chordata; Mammalia; Proboscidea; Elephantidae. The transcript is spliced from 3 exons. The record is from RefSeq and is a predicted model, not a curated record.
UCACAGGCGCGGGCUUCCUGUGCGCGGCCGAGCGGGGCGCAGCGCCGGGGCCACCUCGGGGCGCCUGCAGCCUCCGCAGGGAGGAGACGGAGCGCCCAACAAAGGGAGCGCGGGAAGGACGGAAGGAAGGAAGGAAGCCGCUCCUGGCCCGGCAGAUAUAUGGGGCCCUGUACUCUGAUGACGCAAUGGCGAAGGCACUGGACUGCUAACUGAAAGGUGAUGCGAACCAGGAAGGGGAAAUCCGUGGUUUAAAUUCUUUAUGCCUCAUCCCCUGAAUGCUGGAGGCUGCCUGUAGGCUGUAGGCUGUUAAUGCUAAUCGUGAUAGGGGUUUUUACCUCAAGCAACUCCUACAUGUUAGCAUUAACAGCGUAUGAUGCCUGUUACUAGCGCUCACAUGGAACAAAUGGCUGCGUGGGAGGAAGACCAAGAAGCAUGAGUCACUCUGCUGGGUAAACUUAGACUUCGGCUCUAUUACUUCUUUGUAAUCUGUUAAUCAUAAUCUGGUCACUGGGAUGUACCACUUUAAAUUCAGUUUUAAGGUUAACGUCAUUUAAAAGAUCUGUCUGCAGUAGUCUGUAUUUACUUUAAUCUUCAAGCCCACAUGUUUGUUUUUAUCUUUACUAGAAAAUGUAUUUGUGUCAUUUUUAGUUCAAAGUUAAGGUUUGUUCAUGCACACUCUUAAUGACUCAACUGAGAGAAACAUAGGCUAAAUGAACACAUUCUAAAGCAAAUGUAUACCAUAUCAUUGUAGCUAAAAAUUUAGAAAGACCACCCUUUCCCAGGAGCCCUGGUGUGCAGUGGUUAAUCGCUCGGCAACUAACCAGAAGAUGGGCAGUUCAAAUCUGCCAGCCGCUCCUUGGAAACCCUAUGAGGCAGUUCUAUUCUACCCUAUAGGGUCGCUGUGAGUCGGAAUUGACUUGAUGGCAAUGGGUUUUUUGGAGCCCUGGUGGUACAUGGUUAAGAACUUGGCUGCUAACCAAAAGAUCGGCAGUUCGAAUCCACCAUCCGCUCCUUGGAAACCCUAUGGGGCAGUUCUACUGUGUCCUGUAGGGUCUCCGUGAGUCAGAAUCGACUCAACAGAAACAGGUUUUACCAUUCUCCAGUUAUAGAUCGUGGAUUGUCUGGCAACAUUUUAAAACAGACUUAGAAAUUGGUAUUUUCCUCUGUGUAACAAUUUUCUAUUUGGAGAUUUUCAGUUUCAAAAGUAAUAUUUUUAUUUCAAUCUUAAAGAGGAAUUAAAAGGCUUUGGCACUGAAUUUGUUUUAAAAAAAAAAAAGAUUAUUCAACAAUAAACAUGGUAAAUGAUGUCUAAAACAGCUGCCUGUCUUUCCCCAUAAAAUACAAAGAUUUAAUAAAAGGAGCAUAUUUGAAAGUACGUUCCAAAUCUAGGUUCAAGUUCAAUAGCUCAGCCACUUAACAAUGGCAUGGGGUAAAAGAAUUCACUUUUCCUCUCUAGCCUGUUUCUUAGUCCAUAGAAUGGGGAUCCCUUACAGGGUUAGUGUAAGGCUUACAUGAGAUGGGUAAUUACUUUGUAAAAUACAAAAUGCUACAAAAGAUGUAGUAAAAUUAAUCUGAGAACUAGUCCCCACGGUUUGUUAGAAAAAAAACUAGUGAUUCAAUUUAAUUAAAAAUUUUAAUAUUUGGAUUUUUGUACAAGCUUUCUCCAUAAUUAUAUCACUUACAAAUAUCCAGCCAAUUGUAAUUAAGUUAGCAUAACCCCCAAAAAAUGUAAUAUAUAUUUGUAGCAGCAGUUCUUCUUAGCAGUUAUUUUGCCGAACAGUUAUUCACCGUAACCAGAUACAUCUCUGGAGUUGCUUUUAGUUGACUUGAAAUAACUUCUUUUUUUGUUUUGGCCUUUUUUCUUUUGCAAAGUACAAAUUGUAAUUUCAGAAGAUAUUGCCACAGAAAAGGACAAUGGGAAAAAAAGGGAAUAUUUCUGACUUCUAGGAGAGAGUGUUCUCAGCUAAGGGCACCCCCUGGGCCUUGCUCCCCUUUCUGUUCAAGUUGUCUGUGCUGCCAAGAUAAAUUUCUCCUCUUACCCUUGAGAUGAAUGUGUGGCUCCAUGGAGCCCCCAUGUAGCUAAUGUCACCCUCAAGAGUGUUCUUUGGGACUACAGGGAGAAUUUACAAGAGGAAUCCAUGUUUUGAGUCCCAAUUCUUCAAAACCCCGUUUGCUGCUUAGAGCUACCAAGUCAUAGAACGUUAGGAUUGUGGAAAAGACUAAUCUAGCGUUCCCUUCCUGCUCUUCAAAUGAACAGCUGUGGGCAUCAAAAUGGUACUUUAAGAAAGCUGUGCUCUGAAAUGCCUGAUUUGUAGAGCACUACAUGGUCUUAGGGGUCCCUGGGUGGCGCAAAUGGCUAACAUGCUCAGCUGCUAACCGGUUGGUUGGAAGUUUGAGUCCACCCAGAAGCACCUCGGAAGAAAGACCUGGCAGUCUGUUUCUGAAAGAUCAGCCAUUAAAAACCCUAUGGAGCACAGUUCUAUCUGACACACAUGGGGUUGCCAUGAAUCAGAGUUGACUCCACAGCAAUCGGUUGGUGUUUUUUUGUUGGUUUGUUUUUAUAUGACCUUAGGCAAAUUACCUCUCUUUAAACCUCAGUUUCCUUUUCAGUGAAAUGGUAAUAGUAGUAAAUUUAAAGUAAAGCUUAAAUGAGUUAAUGCGUGUUAAGCAUUAGCACAAUGUCUGUUAAGCAUUAUGUUAAAUAAACACCAGCUUUAAAACUUUUAAAUCUUGCCAAAUUGACAAGAGUAACUCUCAAGCAUAGAUGAGAAGUUUAGGGGCAGUAAGUCUAAGUUAAUGGUGGUGAAACAAUAUGGGUACAGACGGUGAGAAUACAAAGAAUGUAACCUAUAUCAUUGAACUGUACAAUUUGUGGAAUGCGUGUAUGUUUUGUUGUGUAUUUUUUCACUAAAAAUAAAAUUUUUCUACUAGCCACAGUUAAAAACGUAAACAGAUGAAAUUUAAAAAACAAAAAAUUUUUAAAUCUCAAGUCAUCUAAAUCAAAUGAUCUACCCCAGUAGGUCUCUCCAAGCAUGCUUUAGCUCCGAUCAAGCCACAACUCCAUGAAGACAAUCUAGAGAACCUAGAUACCUCUAGGGUUGCUGGGGUUUUUUCUGCUGCCCGACAUUCUGAAGCUUCUAGUUCCUGAUCUCCUGGUAUUAGAUGGAUUCCUUCUGACUAACAUACCCAGUCAUUCCAAAAUUUCACAAAGUAUGAGUGAGACUAGAUGCGUGUGCUUGGGUUGGGGAAAUGUUUAAGUAUCAAGGAAAUGGGUGUGAUUUUGUUUUAAAUAAAUAGCUAGGGGUGGUAGAACUGACUGUGGGCUCUGUGGGGGGCGGAGAAGGUAACAGGAAUCCAGUUUUGUACCUAGCUGACUGAAUUAAAUCAAAUACUAAAUUAUACAGGGCAAGGUUGCUUUAAACAGGAGGAGAAUGGCAAGAGGGUUGUCUAGCAUCUGACCCACUUCCCCAGAAAUUGGCUGAAUUAGAGCCCAGACCUCGUCUAUUCACUGUCAGCAGUUAGAUGAAUCCAGUAACUAAAAACAUAGAGGAAAAAGAGACUAGAAGAAAGAAUAAGAGGGAAAAAAGUGAAGUCAGGGGAUUGGAGAAAACAGAAUAUUAGAAAUUUUCUGAAUAUAGAAGACACCCAGUACCUCAAAGAAAGUGGGGGAACUUGAAUAGAGAAAAGGAGCUUGAAGAAAAAUAACAGAGUCCAUAAAUGGGAAACAUUUGAAAAUAACUAGUGUGGGGGCCCCCAUUAAGAAGGACUGGGCAACAGUGGAACCAAGAGCUAACACUGGUACAUAAGAGUUCAACUCUCUGCUUUGGCUUCCAAAUUCUCCUGUAGUAGUAAGGAUAAGGAAAUAAUUGUUCUUAUAAAGGGUUUUUUAUUGUUAUUUUUCCUGUUACUGUAGUGUUUGAACAAAUCAAGGUGUUCCAGAAUUAGUACUCACCUGGCUAAGUAUACAUCUAACUGGAUUUUUUCUAGGUAGAUUCCUGAAGUGUCAUUUCAGUGGUAUCUUUUCUAUCUUCAGUCAUUCUUCCAUCCUUCUCUGCAAUGCUCAGGGAUUUCCCAGUUCACUAGCCCUGAAGUCACUCUAUCAUAAGUAUUUGUGUUGGCAUGUGAAUGACCGCUUUAGAGGCAGUGAUGCCCUUGAGGGCUGAACCACCGUCUCUCCUGGUCAUAGCCCACUUCAGUAUAUACUGACUUGAUCACAUCAUCGUUAUUCCAAGUCCAAUUCUAAAAACAGAAAUGAGCUUAAUAUACAGUGGGUAUUUCACUCUACUAUACACAUUGGCUCAAAAGGGUGAUUUUUGGUAAAUAAAAGUUCAAUGGUUAAGAGCUACAGCUGCUAACCAAAAGGACAGCAAUUCGAAUCCACCAGCCACUCCUUGGAAACUGUUUGGGGCAGUUCUGCUCUGUUCUGUAGGGUCGCUAUGAGUUGUCAUUGACUCGAUGGCAACAGGUUUGUUUUUUAUGGAUUCUAGCAAACAAGUGACUGAGAAGUUCUACAUAUAACUGAUAAGACAGGAAGUGAUUCCCACCUAGAAAGCUUGUCAAGGUGCAGGUUCCCAGGCUGCAUCCCAAGAAAUGAUUCUGUCAUGGAGCUGAGGAAUCUACAUUUUCACAAGCUAACCAGGUGGUGCAGGUGGUUCAUAAACCAACUCUCAGAAACAGUGGUUUAUACACAGGUUACUGUCUAUGUGGUAACUAGGAAUGGUGCUCAGCAGAAAUUCUGCAACAUACAAAUCUCAUGUCUGUUUACACGCUCCAUUGUAUGUAACGACUCUGCAACGUGGGCUGAUAAAUGCCCUAUGCUAUUCUUGACCUCUGUGGGGAUAAGAAGCAAUUGUAUUUCAAGUCUCAUCAUCUUUCCCUGCCAAAAACACCCUAACCUUCUCAAUAAUACCCCACUGAAACCAGCUGCCCUGUGUUCUACCACCAGCUGCAACCAGCUGAUGACCUUGUAUGAUCUAGCCCCAUGCCAUCAGCUGCUGCUUAGAGCAGCAGUAAGGGAAAGUCAGUGAGAAGGGAGUGGGGACAGGGUCCUGCCUUGUAAAUCAGUUGAUUAAUGGAACCAUCGAAAAGUGUGGUGCCAUCCUAUCACAGCCUCCCACCCUCGUGCUGCUGGGGCUUCAAAAGUCAUUAGAGCCAGUUUACACUUAUGAGAAUCCUACCUGCUGAGCUAAGGUCCAGAGUCGCCAAAAAAGACACAAGUUACACAUGGGCAUCGGAUGGAACAAUCUUAUAUACAGAAGAGCAAGGUUAGCUUUAAUAGUGGGCCAGCAGGUCACUCUCCGCAGCCGAUGCAGGGCUGGUGGUCUGCACACACCCUUCAUGUUGCAUUUGGGAAACACUGUUCCCUCCCCACUGGGAAUAGAUACAGUAAUGAGGUUGGCCAGGUGCCUUAUGACACCGCACACAUAAGCAGAACAAAGAGGUAUUCAUUAAGCUCAAAAACAGAGAAGGAGUCUCCCUGAUAAGAAGAAACCAGGACUGAAGGAGGCUCAGUUCCCAGCCUCUGUUAUCAGGGAAUGUUCCAGGCUCAAGGCUUCUAAUUUGGCAGCCCAGAUGACAAUGGCAAGACCAUAGGCAGACCAUCAUCCCAAAACUACCCUUUCCCAGAUGCCGGCAGCUCAGCAGCAGACCCUUAGCCCCUGCCUAACACAUAGUACAAGACCUUCAAAAAGGGGUGUACCCGAAAGUGAUCACUCUCCUCUGUCUUCCCAAAGUACAGUUUAAUAAGUAAAGUGCUUCAUUCUAUUCCCCCACCUUUGUGAUUUGUGUACACAUCAUCCUCUUCUAGAGUAGCAGCUCCUGUAGGAAAGGAAUAUUAUUUUAAGCUUUUCUGUAUUCUACCCAGCUUAGGGCCUUUGUCAGAGUUGCUUAAACUGAAUGGGAAAAUAUAUCCAAUUCUCCACUGCCUUUGGAAACACAACUUGUUCUGAAGUUGCUGACUGCCUGUACUUGGCAUAUGUGUGUCCCAAUUUCAGGUCGACUUGAAUGGAUUCAUUACUCAGCUCAAGGAUCAAGAAUAUCCAACUUCAAGAACUCUUAGAAAUAACAUCACAGUAGCAGCCUCCCCGAAACUAAAUAUUUUCCCUUUCCUUCAAUAGCCCCGGUGGUACAAUGGUUAAGCACUACGGCAAGCUACAGCUGCUAACCAAAAGGCCAGCAGUUCGAAUCCACCAGCCACUCCUUGGAAACCCUAUGGGGCAGUUCUACUCUGCCCUGUAGGGUUGCUAUAAGUUGGAAUUGACUCCAUGGCAAUGGGUUUGUUUUUCGUGUCUUUUUUUUUCCUUCAAUAUAUUUAACCAUGUAUGGAAUCUAAAAUCUGCUUAAUAUAUAAACUUAUCUUAACACUUAUGUUACCUUUAUUUAACAAAACUUAAAAGAUACAUUCUUCUGAUCUAUAGGACCACCUCUAAGAAUUUAUAUUACGGAUCUCCUUGUACAUGUGUGGACUCAUGUAUGUACAAGGUCAUUCAUUGAAGUGUUAUUUAUAAUAGCAAAAAUUAGAAAUUAACCAUCAAUAGGGGACUGAUGCACUACAUUAUGGCACACACAUAAAUGGAAUACUAUGUACUGAAAAAAUAGAAACAAUGUGUAACUUCUAAAACAAAGUGGGAAGGAAGGGCGAAAAAAUUGGAUCAAUCCAAUAUAUGGCAGGAAAGGAAAAAAAACGGAAGGAGAAAAACCAAGUAAGAUGGUAAAAGUACAUCAGUAAUCACAGUAAAAUAUAAAUGAAUUAAAAUGUAUCUCUUAAUUAAAAGAUAGUGAUUCCACAACUGGAUUAAAAAAAAAAAGCUAGCUUUAUACUCUUUUCAAAAGACAAAACGUAAUGACAUUAAGGGGUUGAAAGGGGAUAGAAAAACGUACUAGGCAAAUACUAACAAAAAUCUAGUGUAACAGUAUUAAUAUAACUAAAGAAAAAACUGAUUAUGGAAACCAGAUUGAGGAGGGUAUAACAUUAUUAAGAAUAGAAAGGGUUAUCACUUAAUGAUAAAAAGAAACAAUUUACCAGUAAGUUAUAAAAGAAAAUCUAAAACUGUACAGUGCUAGCAAAAGAGCCUCAAAAUAUAAUAAUUAAACAUUGAUUUAAUUAUCUGGAGGAAUGUCAAAUCCAGAAUCAUUGUAGAAGAAUGAGUUUAAGAAAAAGCUUUCUUUAUUGUCCCUUUUAAGAGAAAACAUAAAGACAUAAUGAUGUUUACAAGGAAUGGAAAAAUAUUUAUUUACCUCUGACCUAAAGAAAUGAUGUAGAAAUAACAGCACCAGACAAAACAGAUUUUAAGAUACUUGCUUGGAAGUUGAGAAGCUGAGCCUGCAAUAACCGUGACGAUUUUGAGUUAAGGAAGGACUCAUAUCAUACCAGAAAUCAAAAUGUAUUAUAAAGCUGUCAGAAUUAAAGCCCAGGUAAGUGGUGUUAAAAAAAAAAAAAAAAAUUUUUUUUUAAAGUGGUGGUGUAGGGGGAGACAAAUGGACCAAUGAAGCAGACCCAGGCAUUUAAAGCAGGGCUUCUAUCUAGUUCACUAUUCUAUCUAGUGAUUUACGCUCCCCACCCCUCCCCUCCUUUGUAACACUCAAAGAUUGUUUUUUUCUGUGUGUAAACCCGUUCUUGGGUUUUUAUAAUGAUGGUCUCAAACAAUGUUCGUCCCUUUGCCACUGACUUAUUUCACUCAGCAUAAUGCCCUGCAGAUGUCAUCCAUGUUGUAGAUGUUUCUCAGAUUCACCAUUGUGAUUUACCAUUGCGUGUAUGUACCAUAAUUUAUCCGUUCAUCUGGUUCGUUCCACUUAAACCCUCUGCUGAGCAAUUUGCAUUUCUAACAAGUUCCCAGGGGAUGCUAAUGAUUCUACCCUAAAAAAAAACCCUAGAUAUCUUAAAAAAAAAAAUGCCUUCACGUGGAUUCUGACUCAUAGCAACCCUAUAGGACAGAGUAGAACUGCCCCAUAGAGCUUUCAAGGAGUAGCUGGUGGAUUCGAACUGCCAACGUUUUGGUUAAGCAGCCGAGCUCUUAACUACUAUGCCACCAGGGCUCCCCCCAGAUAUAGGAUCAAAAUCUACAUGUAGGAAUCACCUGAUGAUCUUGUUAAACUGUAGAUUUUUUAAUUGUAAAAGGUAAAAAUUUACAGCACAUCUUCAUUCAAAAAUUUAUACACAAAUUGUUUUGUGACAUUAGUUGCAAUCACCUAAAUGUGUCAGCACUCUCCCCCUUUCCUUUUCCAUUCUGGGUUCCCCAUGUCCAUUCAUCCAGUUUUCCUGUCCCUUCCUGCCUUCUCGUCUUUGCUUUCAGACAGGUGUUGCCCAUUUGGUCUCAUAUACUUGAUUGAUCUAAGAAGCACACUCCUCAUGUGUGUUCCUGUUUUAUAGACCAUCUAAUCUUUGGCUGAAAGGUCAACUUCAGGAGUGGCUUCAGUUCUGAGUUAGCAGCCGAGCUCUUUAACUACUGGGGGGGCCACAGUAUUGGGGGUUCCCCCAGUCUCUUUCAGGCCGGUAAGUCUAGUCUUUUUUGUGAAUUUAAAUUUUCUACGUUUUUCUUCUGCUCCACACAAGACCCUCUAUUGUGAUCCCUGUCAGAGUGGUCAGUGAUGGUAGCUGGGCACCAUCUAGUUCUGGGCUCAGCCUGGUGGAGGCUGUGGUUGACGUGGCCCAUUGGUCCUUUGGGCUAAUAUUUUCCUCAUGUCUUUGGUUUUCUUCAUUCUCCUUUACUCCAAACGUGAUAGGACCAAUAGACGUAUCUUAGAUGGCUGCUCACAAGCUUUUAAGACUCCAGACGCUACUCACCAACUGUUAUGCCAACUGACCUAGAUGUCCCCUAAGACCAUGGUCCCAGCCCUCGGCCCCAGUAACUCGGUCCCUCAAGGUGUUUGGAUGUGUCUAGAAAGCUUUUAUGGCUUUGCCUUGGUCAAGAUGUGCUGCCUUCCCCUAUAUUGUGUGUUGUCUUUCCCUUCAGCAAAGUUACCACUUGUCUAUUAUCUAGUUAGUGAUUUCCCCUCUCCACUCCUCCCCACCCUCUUAACCAUUAAAGAUUUUUUUUUCUGUGCAUCAAUCUUUUCUUGGGUUUUUUUAACGGUGGUCUCAUACAGUAUUUGUUCUUUUGUGAUUUAACUUAUUUCACUCAGCAUACUGCCCUCCAGAUUUAUCCACGUUGUGAGAUGUGUCAUGGAUUCUUCAUUGUUCUUUAUCGUUGCAUAGUGUUCCAUUGUGUGUAUGUACCAUAAUUUGUUAUCCAUUCAUCUGUUGAUGGGCACAUAGGCUUUCAUUUUUUUGCUAUUCUGAAUAAUGCUGUAGUAAAUAUGGGAGCGCAUAUGUCUACUCAUGGGAUGGCUUUUAUUUCUUGCUAGGAUAUAUUCCUAGGAGUGGGAUUACUGGGUCACAUGGUAUUUCUAUUUCUAGCUUUUUAAGGAGGGACCAUAUCAUUUUCCAUAUUGGCUGUACCAUUUUACAUUCACACUAGCAGUGCACAAGUGUUCCAAUCUCCUCGAAACCUCUCCAAUAUUUGUUAUUUUGUUUUUUUUUUUUUUUAUUUGUGCCAGUAAUGUCAGGGUGAUAUGGUAUCUCAUAGCUUUGAUUUGCAUUUCUUUAAUGGCUAAUGAUUGUGUGAGCAUUUCCCCAUGUGUCUUUUAGCUGCCUCAAUGUCUUCUUUGGUGAAGUGUCCAUAUCCUUUGCCCAUUUUUCAAUUGGAUUAUUUUUUGUUAUUGAGGUAUUGAAGUAUUCUAUAGAUUUUAGAGAUUAGACUCAUGUCAGAUGUCGUAGCCAAAAAUUUGGUUCUUUUUAUUCUUUUGGUGAAGCCUUUUGACAAGCCUAAGUGUCAAAUUUUUAGGAGCUCCCAGUUUUCUAGUUUACCUUCUGAUGUUUGUACACUGUUAGUUAUGGUUUAUGUUCUAUUCAUGCCAUGUAUAAGGGCCCCUAACAUUGUCCCUAUUUUUUCUUCCAUGAUCUUUACCGUUUUCAGGUUUAUAUUUAGGUCUCUGAAGAAAACUGUUUUCUAAUCUAGUAUUCUGUAUCUAAAAAAACAAUCAGCCAAAAAUAAGUGCAAAACAGAGCUCACCUCUUGAACUCUUAGGAGGAACGUGAAGACAGACUCUAAUAAAAUGAGAAAGUUAAUUAAGAAACAGGAAGUUAUGGACUCUAGGAAAAAGUAGAUCCAACCCAGGAAACAAAGUCUUCAAAUGAAACUUGUGCAGCAGGCCCAGAACAUAAAAUGCUCAGAUUGGAAUGGGAAGAAGAUUUUUGGCAAAAGAUUAGAGAAAAAAGAAAAAAAAAACACCAGAUGAUGAAGGCUUGCCCAGGUGUGGAGAAAUGGGCAUUCACAGACACUGUUGCUGGGAAUGUCAUUUGGCAAAGCCUGUGGGAGGCCAGGCUGAUAGUGUCUGUCAGUAAUUCCACUAGCAGAAACCUCUUCCUACAAAAUUCCUUAUAUCUGAGGCAGCAUACAGAAGAGCAGGAACUCCAGAGUGAGAAUGCCUGGGUUCAAACUCCAGUUUUGCCAUUUGUGAGCUCUAUGAUCUCUGUUCCUCAUUUGCAAAAGGUUGUUGUAAAGAUUUAAUGAGAGGUUUCCCUAUGGAAGGCUCAGGAAACUUGGUGCAGUGGUUAAGUGUCCAGCUGCUAGCCAAAAGGUUGGCAGUUCAAACCCACCAGCCACUGUGGGAGAAAGAUGUGGCAGUCUGCUUCUGUAAAGAUUUACAGCCUCAGAAACCUUAUGGGGCAGUUCUACUCUGUCCUACAGGGUCACUAUGGGCCGGAAUUCACUCGAUGGCAGGGGGCUUGGUUUUUUGGGUUGCGGAGGGAUUAGCACAAUGCCCAGUAUAGAAUACUCAGGCUUUUGGAAGACUAUAUUUGCAUAUGUACAUAUAUGUUUAUACGUGUAGAAAAGAAGGACUGAAAAAAAAAGUAUUUGGAUAGCGGGAGAAGAGGGGUUUGUUUUUGUGUGAAAUUUUUAUUAUAAGCAAUGGAAGUUGUUUUAUCCUUUAGAGAAAGCGAAAAAGUAAAGAGCAUUAGAGAUCUUGAUAAGCACACCCAAACAUUACAUUUAAAAAAAAAAAAACUUUUAUUUUAACUGAUUAUACAUAUUUAAAUCUUAGGAGGUUUCUAGGUGGCUGCACUUUCCUCUGUGGGUUUGGUUUGAUCUUCAGUUACCUGUAAAAACGUAACAGCUUUACUUUAGAAUAAACACUUUCAGUUUCACCCUCAUCCACCAUUUUAAACAUUCCACAGUUCUUGUCUCUCUCCUUCAAUAGUAACUACUACAGAAAGUUACAUAGGAAAGAAAGCUUACAGGGCCACAUUACCAAUAUAAAUUAUAAACACAAUGAUUCCUUCCAAAAUAUAAUCUGAGGCAUAUUAUAUCUAGUCUUCUCAAGUGGGUCAUUUCAUAUUUCACCUAUAAAACAAAAUCAUUAGUUUAAAAAGAAAAAAAAAAAAAAACCCAGAAGUGCUGCAACAAGCUAUUUUAAAUCGACCUGUUUCGCUGGGAGGUAUAAUUCUAUUUUGAGUAUAGCGUAUUACAGGCUUAGUCCAAAUACCACAUGUCUGUAUUUCUACUGUAUGUCACUCAGAUGCUUCAAACAAACGGUGCUAAAACUGAAUUUCUCACUGCCCCAAAACCUGCCCCACCCCUGCAUUCUCUCAGAGGAGGGCUCUCCCAGCCCCCAGCCUGGCAUUCGAGAAUCCAUCUCCUUUCACCUGCAUAAGAUCAACAGUUAGUUCUACCUAAGAAACUCUCAGCCAUCCUCACUGCCAUGGCUGAACUUUAGGACCGUAUUAUUUUCUACGCCCUGAAAGUAAUCCUGGCUUAAUUUACAGCUCUCUUUCACACACCAGAAUGAACUUCUGAACAGAAAUAGCUGAUCGUGUCACUUUCCUGUUCAAAUUUCUUCUGUUACCUCCUGUCAUCUUUAGGGGAGGAAAAAUGCAAAUUCCACAGCAUAGAAGAUAAGCUCUUCAUAUUCUAUCUCCAACUCACGUCUCUGGACUCCCUGCCACCCUCCAUGUGACCGGUGCAUUCACAUUCUCCAUACAUUCCCCAUCUUCUCCAUUCCUCCACACACCUCAUCCAAUAGCUUCCUCUGAUGUAAUAACCCCCAGCAAGUUAUCUGCCUGGCCUAUUUUUAUUCAUCCUUUAAAACCAACUUAAAAGACACCAACACCUGCAGGCUUCCUUAACCUAACCUCCAGCUUGGUUUAGGUUUUAGGUCUUCUCUUGUUAUUCCAGAACCUCACAUGUACAUCUGAACCGCCUGCUUGUAAGGCUAGUGAUCCCAUCAAAGUAACUUCCUUCAGGGCAGCAAGUGCAUUUUGUUCAUUUCUGUACCCUCAGAACACAACAGUACCUGACACAUAAUAAACACUCAAUAACCCUGUGUUAACUGAAUCAAUGGACCAUGCAUUUAGCCUACUCCCUUUGGAUAAGUGAAAUGGACAGUGGAAGAAGACAACUCAACCAGGAUAAAUGUUUAAAAAAUGGCUGUUUACUGUCUCCACUCUUUUUCCUUAAAGUAUUCAAUUAUUGAUUGCUUCUCGUGUUUCCCAACCACUUCUUAGGUGUUCAUAUUUUCCCUUGUUUCUUAAUCUGAAAUGAUCAUUGUGAAAUCACAAAAGGACAAAUAUUGUGUGAUCUCACUUUUAUAAAAAGUCAAGAAUAGGUGUACACACAGAAGGCAACUGUUCUUUGAUGGUUAGCAGGGAUGAGAGGGAGAGGGAGCGGGAAGGGGAAUCGCUUUCUAGAUACUAUCUAGAUACUACCUUCUAGACACUUGUUAUUUUUGGUGAUGGGAAAGGCAGUACCCAAUAUGGCCCAGACAAAGGCAAAUGAAGACCCUAAGAAAUACGUAAGAAUAAGGGACAAUUUUGGUGAAUGCUAUAACAUAUAAAAUUUUGCAACAACAAUAAAAAUAACCAGAAAAUAUGAGUGGGGUUAUACAGAUAUGUAAACCCAGUGCUGUCAAGUCGAUUCCGACUCAUAGCGACCCUACAGGAUAGAGUAGAACGGCCCUAUAGAGUUUCCAAGGACCACCGGGCGGAUUUGAACUGCCGACCCUUUGGUUAGCAGCCAUAGCACUUAACCACUACGCCACCAGGGUUUCCAUACAGAUAUAUAUGUAUGCAUAUAUGUGUAUAGGAAGACAAAUGUGAGUACACGUGUGUGCAUGUAUAUGUGUAUCUGUAGGCAUAUGUAUAUAUAUGUCUGAGUGUGCCACAUAUAUAUUCAUAUAUAUAAUAAAGCACAUAGGGGGCACAGUUACGAAACCUCGAGGACAUAACCAAACACCUCGCAGGUAGGUUUACUAGGUUAAAAGCCUUAGGACCAUAGUCUCAUGGGACAACUCAGUCAACUGGCAAUAAUGCAGCUCAUAAGGAUAAUGUUCACCUCCUAGUUUGGUGAAGAGUGGAGUCUGGUAUCUUAAAAGCUUGUCAGUGACCAUCUAAGAUACAAUUAUCGGUCUCUACCUGACUGGAACAAAUGACAAUGAAGGAAACAAAGACUCAAAGAAGAAAUUAGCCCACAGGACAAACAGCCCACACGAACCACAACCUCUUCUAGCCUGAGACCAGAAAAACUAGAUGGUACUCGGCUACCACUACCACCUGUUCUGACUAGGGACACAAUAGAAGGUCCCAGAUAGAAUAAGAGAAAAAUGUAGAAUGAAAUUCAAAUUCCUAAGAAAUGCCAGAAUUACUGGAUUGACAGAGACUAAAGGAAGCCCCAAAACUACUGCCCUAAAAUACCCUUUGAAAUUGGAAUUGAAGCCACUCCUGGAGAUCACCUGUCAGCCAAAUAAUACAUUAACUUAUAAAAUAAACAGUAUCACCUUUGAGUAAUGUGCUCCCUGAAACAAUCAACUACAUAAGAUUUGGGUCAACAUUUACCCAGAAACAAAGAUGAGGUGGCAAGGAGGGGCAGGGGAGCUUGAUCAAUAGAAACAGAAUGGGAAUGAUGAGAAUGUUGACAGGUUGUGAAAAUUGUAACCAAUGUCACAGAACAAUCUGUAUAAAAAUUGUUAAAUGGGAAACUAAUAUGCUCUGUAAGCUUUCACCUAAAACACAAUAUUAUAAAUAAAUGAUCAUUGUGACCAACCAAAGAGACAAAGUUAUUCCAUCCUUUUCAAUAUGCCCUCUUCUCAUAAGAUAGGAGAGAUUACAUAACCUUCACACAGGGACAUCAGGCUGUGCUUAAUCAAUAACUUCUCUCUGUGAGUUCCCUAAUAAAGCCCAGUUUUAUAAUGAUAUCAUUAGGAAGGUAACCACCAUCACAUGCCAAAUGUGUUCAAAAUCUGGGGUCAAACAAAUAUAACAAACCCUGAAUAAAUCAGCAGACUGAACAUAAAUGUACCAGCAAAGAAAGCAAUAUGAGAAGGUAUACAAUCAAGCAAUAAAUUGUAUAAAUGGAUAGUAUUUGUUAAGAGAUUACUCUGAGAAUGAUUCCUGGAGAAGAUGGAACUGGGACAAGGUAUUGCAGAAUGAGUAGGAUGUAGAUCCACAGACAUAAUGAAGGAGCAUGGGAAGGGGAGUCCAGGCAGAACAGCCAUCAGGAAGAAGUAGGCUAACCUGAAAAUCAUUCUGAUGUGUGCUGAUUAGUGUACUUUGAAACUAGACUAGAACAUCUGCAGAGUACUGGGAAAUUAGGGUAACUAUGAAGGGCUCAUGAGGUCAGAUUGCACUGUAUAGCUAUCAGGUAACGUACCUAAAACACAAACAGUCAGCACGUGAAACGGUGAAUAGGGAUAGUUGUGGUUCAUGAAUAUAAUCCCUCCUUCUUAUGAGAAUCUAAAUACUAAUGACACAACAUAAAUAUAGAAACAUAAGCAUUCGAAAAUCUUUUUUAGGUAUUUGUAUAUUUAACUUGUCAACAGUCAAGUCAGCUGUAAAGUAUACUGGACAAAUCUUAAUCCUUUAAGAGUUCAUUAGAUUAAUAAAAAAAAUUAUUUAAAAAAAUCCUAAGUCCUCAUUAACACCAUGACAACCAUUAAGAACUUUAACUACUAUAUGGAAAUAUCUUCCUUCCCUUGAAGUUCUACAGUUUAUCAUUUCCAUGGCAUUAACAAAUAAAAUCAAAAAAGAAUUUCCAAACUACAAAUUUUCCUUCUACCAAAAUACUACUAGGGUAAACAAUCACAGCAUUGAUUUGGCUACUGAGACAAUUUCUUUCUUUCUCUCUCUUUUUUUUUUUUUUUGGUUGUUGUUGCUUGACUUCAAUAAAAAUGUCUUCAUAGAAGAUUACUCAUUAGUUGUCAAAAACACUUACCAAUUUCCGAGAUCUUUCCAAUAGCUUAUUCCAUAUUGUAAAAUGUGCCUUAAAAAGAACAGAUUUACUAUGAAUUAAACAAAGCAAUACAGUUAAAAUAAAAAGGACUGAGUCUUCACAUAGCAUUUAAACAAAACUAGUAAAUAAAGAGCUAGGCAGUACUUACAUGGCUAAGUGGUUACAAAAGUGGAUCCGAGUAAGAAAAAAGGCACACUAUACAUACACAGUUUGUUUAUCCAUUCAUCUGUUGACGGGCAUCUAGGUUGUUUCCAUCUUAAGAAAAAGGCACUAUAUAAAAUAGCUGCUUUGUUUGACUUAAGAACUGAAUAUGCCAUUCUUCCUCUUUUGUUCCUUUUAAUCAUUUCCGUCACAGAAAGCAUUCCAUCUAACGGGAAGCAAAAAGAAACCUGCCCCACUUUCCCACUGACUGUAGGUCUUUCCUUGAACAGCCAAUUUCAAAAUGCUAGAGGUCAUUCUUCAAAUUAUGAGCAAUCACAAGGAGAAAGUCAUUAACAACUGUGACAUCUCCCCACUGACAUGGCAGACCCAGAAGAUCUUGCAAAUUACACUACAGAAAAAGUAAAGCCUAGCGAAGACAGUAGUAAAGCCACAGAACCAAUUUUAUUAAUCCUUAAUCUUAUGGAGCAGAGGAUUAUCGGAAUCCAUUAAUGACAGCUCUGCAAAGAGCAUAAUGACCACAGCGAUUCUGUUUACGCCAGCUGAAGGUGACAGCAAGGCAUAUGGGUGGGCCAGUGACUAUUUAGACACCAAAUGAGCUGGUAAUAUCUAUAAUAAAUGGUAAGAUGUCUAAGUAUCUAUACACAAACCCUCCAGAGAAGGAGCAGUAUGGUAUGUUUAAAGGGAAAAUCAUCCUUGACUUAGGCACAAUAAACAGAUGCUACAGAAACUCUGAGGUGGGAAUCAGUUUGCCAUGUUCAAGGAAGAAAAAGUGUGGCCAGACCACAGUGGGUGAAGAAGAGAGAGGUAUGAGGUGAAGUCAGAAAAGUAGGCAGGGACAGAUAAGUAUGGCUUUGCAGGAUAGGGUAAAGGCUUAGGAUUUUAUACAUGGGAUGCUGUUACGAAGUUUGGAGCAGGGGAAUUAUGUGAUUCGAUUUGUGUAUUAAUAAGGUCAUUCUGGCUACUAAGUAGAGAAUGCGCUGUGGAGAGCAAGAAUGAAAUAAGGAGAGGGAGGGAAGAGAAAGGGGGACUUGGAUAGGAGAAGUAGUAAUAGUUGAGACAGUAGGCAGUGGAUGGAUUCAGACUAUGUUUUAGGGUUAAGAGCUGAAAGGACUGGCUGAUGGGUGGGAUGAGGGUAUGGCCAUGAGGGGAAGAGAGAAUCAAGGAUUCCCUCAAACAGCUAGACAGGUGAUGGUGCCAUCUACUGAAACGGAGAAGGCUAGGAAAGGACGUGAAUACGUGGAGAAAAAGCAAGAAUUCUGCAUUGGCCACGUUAAGCAGGAGAUAACUAUAAGCCAAACAAAUGGAGCUGUCAAGCAGACAGUAGGAUAAAGGAGUCUACAAGUUCCCAAGAGAAGUUUAGAGUAUAGAUGAUCGGUGGAACCAUGGUGAUAUGAAAUGACAUAAGAAUAUUUACGGAAUCUUUGUGAUAUGUCAACCCUUUGACACUGAAUAGAGGAGAAAGAGCCAGCCAAGAGACUGAGGAGUGCCCUGCCACUUAGGUUGAAGGAAAUCUAGGGACAAAGGUGUCAUGGAAGCAUCUAAAAGAAUGUGUUUCAAGGACGAAGGAAUGGCUAAUUAGUAGUAGGAAGUCAAAGAAAAGCAGAGAAAAUGGCUGUUGCAUUUGAUAAUACAGAGGUCACUGGAGACCUUGACAAGAUAGUUCCAGAGCAAUGGCAUGAGUAGAAGACUGACUGGAGUGGAUCGAAGACAGAAUGAAAAGUGAAGUAGAGAUAACAACUACAGAUACAGAUACCUACAGGUAGAAAGCAGGAAAAUGGGGCAGGCCCUACAAAGGAGAUAUAAGGUCAAGGACAAGGUUUUUUAGAUGAGAUAUUUAAAAUGCUAAUGGAAUAAUUUCAAAGAGGAAAACAGUACAGAAAAAAAUUAAAGGGAGCGUAACUAUAGAAGUGGCGUCCCAGAGAAGGUAAGAGGGCAUGAAAUCUGGGACACCGAUACCAGUAUAAGGGUUGGACUUUUAUAAAGGCAGAGACAGGUCAUCAACUAUCCUACAAAAGAAGGUAGAGAGCAUAGAUGCAUAUGCAGGCAGGUGGGGAACACCUGGUGGUGGGAAGAUGGAAUUCCUGUUUAAUGACUUCUAUUUUUCCAAUGAAGUCUAAGACAAGAUUAUCAACUGAGAGUGAAGUGGGGAACAAGGUUUAGAGGAGUCACCGGAAAAGGGGUUGCUAUGUCAGGAGUGGAAAUCGAACCAAUGACUCCAGGGGAGACAGUGACCUGAAUGCAGCACCUUAGACUGCUCAGCCAUUCUGAUGGGAGAGAGGAGGGAGCCCUAGUGACCCAAGGGUUAAGCACUCAGCUGCAAAUUGAAAGGUCAGCAGUUUAAAUCCACCAGCCACUCUGUGAGAGAAAAGACCUGGCAAUCUGCUCCCAUAAAGAUGACAGCCUAGGAAACCCUAUGGGGAAGUUCAGCUCUGUCUUAUAGGGUUACUAUGAGUAAGAAUCAUCACAAGGACAUACAACGACAACAAAAGGAAGAAAGGAGAAGAUAUGACACAGUCUUUUUGAGGGUGGAAAAGCAAACACACUUGUAAAGCAUAGGAGGAUUUCAACCCUCACCAGGCUGGAACAGGGCACCCUGUUCCUCCUGCUGGGGUAAUGUCAGAGAAGGCCAAGAAGGGAGACAGGACAUUCAUCCCUGCCAAAUGGUAACAAGUCUGUCCUUCCCACCAAUCCCCACAGUGUGAGUAAAGAUCACGUGGGGUGACUGCACUAGACUCCUCCUCCUCCACCUAGAAGAAAAGCGCUGCUGUGUUGGUGUCAGCGGAGACCUUGUGAAGAGUAAGGACUUUCACUCCCACCCAACAAAACUAGGCCAUCCCCUCCCUCAUGGUGUCAGUGGAGGCCUGGUGGGGAGCCAGAACUCCUACUAACCACCCUCCCUCUUUCGGGUGUCAACAAGGGCCAAGUGGGGAGCCUAGACUCCUACCCACAUCUGACAGUAAUGAGGUGCCCCCUACCACCAACUGCUCCUGCUGGAAUAGGAAGUCAGCUGAAAUAGAAGGUUUAAAGAAGAUUCAGAGUCUUAUAAUACACAAAAUAUCUAAAGAACAAUAAAAAAUUACUUAAUGUAAAAAGAAUCAGGAAAAUCUCAACUUGGAAUGAAAAAAGACAAUCAGUAGAUGCCAACACAGAGAUUACAGAGAUGUUAAAAUUAUCUGUCAGAUUUUAAAGCAGCCAUUAUAAAAAUCCUUCAGUGAGUAGCUGUGAACAUGCUUUACAUAAUGAAAAACUAGAAAGCUUCAGCAAAGAAAUGUAAGACUCCACAAAGAAAUAGCUGAUAAAAAGAAGCAGCAAAUGGAAAUUCUGGGAUUGAAAAACACAGUAACCAAAAUUUAUAAUUCAAUGGGUAGUCUCAACAUCAGAAUAGGGGGGAAAGAGGAAAGAAUUAGUAAACUUGAAGACAGAACAAUAGAAAUUACACAAUCUGAACAACAGAGAGAAAACAGACUGAAAAAUAAAUGAACAGGGCCUCAGAAACCUAUGAGAGUAAAACAAAAAAAUCAUCAGAGCCUAGAAAAAGAGGCAAAGAGAGCAGGGCUGAAAAACUACUCAAAGAAAUAAUAACAGAAAACUUCUGAAGCUGACCAAAGACAAAAACCUACAAAGCCAAGAGGCGACCCCCAAACAGGAUAAAUUUAAAGAAAUCCACACCAAAAACACUCAAAAUUAAAGUCAAAAUUCCGAAAACCAAAGACAAAAGAAAAAAUCUUGAAAGCAGCAAGAAAGAAUUGACACCUUACCUACAAAAGAAAAACAAUUCAAAUGACAACUGACAGGCAGAGGGAAGUAGCACAUUCUUCAAGCGAUGAAUGAACUGUCCAACCAGAAAAUAUCCAAAUAGCAAAAAUAUCCCUCAGGAACAAAGAGGAAAUCAAGACAUUCUCAGAUGAAGAAAAACUAAGAGAAUAUGACCCCAGCAGACCUACCACAGAAGAACUGCUAACGUUCCCUAAACAGAAAAGAAAUGAAACAAGAAGGACUCUUAGAACGUCAAAAAGGAAAAACAAAAUGUUUUGUUACCUACACAUUUACCACAAUUAAAAAAAAAAAGGAACAAAAACUGUAAAAAUAGGGAUAAAUCAUUUCCUUCUCAUCUUGAGUUUUAGAAAUUAUGUUUGACAGCUGAAGUAAAGAUUAUAACACUGUCUAAUGUAGUUCUAAAUGUAUGGAGGGGAAAUAUUUAAGACAAUUUUAUUAAAAACAAGAGAGUGUACAGGGACAUAAAGUGACACAAGGUUUCUACACUUCAUUUAAACUGGUAAAGCGUUGACAUCAGUAGACUGUGAUAAGUUAUGUGUAUAUACCUGGAGCAAUCACACACACAAAAAAAAUGAAUACAAAGAGAUACACCCAAAAACACUAUAAAUAAAUCAAAAUGGAAUUCUAAAAAAUGUUCAAGUAACCUACAGGAAGGCAGGAAAAAGAAAACAAACAAAAAGAGAGAGAAAACAAACAGAAAGCAAAAAAAUAAAAUGGCAGUCUUAAAUUCUAACAUCAACAAUUACAUUAAAUGUAAAUGGUCUAAGUACAUCAAUUAAAAGAGAUUGGCAAAGUCAGUUAAAAAGCAUGACACAAUUACAUGACAUUUAAAAGAAAUUCACUUCAAAUAUGAUAUAGGUAGGUUGAAAAUAAAACGAUGGAAAAAGAUAAAUCAAGCAAAUAUUAACAAAAGAAAACGGCAGUUUUUUUAUCAGAUAAAGUAUACUUCAAAGCAACGAAAAUCACUAGAAACAGUGUCAUAAUGACAAAAGGGUCAAUCCACCAAGAAAACAUAGCAAUCCUAAAUGUAUAUGCAACAAGCAACAGAGUUAUAAAAUUUGUAAAGCAAAAACUAAGAAGAGAAAUAGAUAAAUCCACAAUUGUACUUGGAGACUUCACACCCUCUCUCAAUAACUGGUGAAACAAUUAGAAAGCCUAGAAAGGGCACAGAACUCAACAGCACCACCAACCAACAUAAUGAAAUUGACAUUAGUAGAAUAUUCGACCCAAGAACAGAAGAAUACACACUCUUUUCAAGCACCCAGAGAAUAUAAACAAGAUAGAUCAUAUUCCAAAUCAUAAAAUAAACCUUAACAAAUUUAAAAGAACUGAAUUCAUACAAUGUGAGCCCUGUUGGUACACUGGUGCUAGGCUGUUAACCAAAAGGUAGUUAGUUCGAACCAACCAGCUGCUCUGCAGGAGAAAGAUGUGGCAGUCUGCUUCUGUUAAGAUUUAUAGCCUUGGAAACACCAUGGGGCAAGUUAUACUCUGUCCUACAGGGUCACUAUGUGUCAGAAUCGACUCAAUGGCAGUGGUUUUGGUUGUUUUGUUUUGUUUUUUUUAAAUAUCUCUGACCACAAAAGAAUCAAACUAGAAUAACAGAAAGAGAAAAGGAAAAUCUUCAAACAUUUGGAAAGUAAAUAACACACUUCUUAAUAAUCUAUGGAGCAAAGGCAGUCUCAAAAGAAAAAAAUAGAUCAAAUUGAACAAAAAUGAAAACGUGACAUCGAAAUUUGUGGAACAGCUAAAGCAGCAUCGAAAGGGAGAUUUACAACACUAAAUCAGAAAUAAGGGAAGUCUCAAAUCAAUAAGCUCCCAACUCAGGGACCUAAAAAAGAGCAAACUAAACCUACAGCGAGCAGAAGAAGGGAAAUAAUGAUGAUAAAACCAAUAAAACUGAAACAAAAAAAAAAAAGGGAGAGAAUCAAUAAAGCCAAAAGCUGGUUCUUUGAAAGUAUUAAUAAAAUUGACAAACCUCUAGGCAAGACUGAAAAAAAAAAACAGAAAA